CCUACGGGAGGCUGCAGUGGGGAAUAUUGCACAAUGGGCGCAAGCCUGAUGCAGCCAUGCCGCGUGUGUGAAGAAGGCCUUCGGGUUGUAAAGCACUUUCAGCGGGGAGGAAGGCGGUGAGGUUAAUAACCUCAUCGAUUGACGUUACCCGCAGAAGAAGCACCGGCUAGCUCCGUGCCAGCAGCCGCGGUAAUACGGAGGGUGCAAGCGUUAAUCGGAAUUACUGGGCGUAAAGCGCACGCAGGCGGUCUGUCAAGUCGGAUGUGAAAUCCCCGGGCUCAACCUGGGAACUGCAUUCGAAACUGGCAGGCUAGAGUCUUGUAGAGGGGAGUAGAAUUCCAGGUGUAGCGGUGAAAUGCGUAGAGAUCUGGAGGAAUACCGGUGGCGAAGGCGGCCCCCUGGACAAAGACUGACGCUCAGGUGCGAAAGCGUGGGGAGCAAACAGGAUUAGAUACCCUAGUAGUC
Molecule: ribosomal RNA, 465 nt
Filed under: uncultured Klebsiella sp.
Lineage: Bacteria; Pseudomonadati; Pseudomonadota; Gammaproteobacteria; Enterobacterales; Enterobacteriaceae
Description: bacterial SSU rRNA
Rfam family: Bacterial small subunit ribosomal RNA
Source: RNAcentral